UCUGGACGAGACGUGGCAGUGAAACGCAUAGAAUACCAUGCAAAGAAAGAGGAAGAAACGAUUGGGAACGAAAUCAAGUUUCUUUUGAAACUGGAUGCCAACACCGCCAAAGUCAUCAGGUACUACACAGCAGUAAGGUCUCAUGAAUUCUACUACAUCGCUAUGGAACUUGGCGUUUGUACAGUCAACGAUUACGUGACGAAGAAUGACAAAUUCAUCAGGCUUCGGAACAUUGAUAAAGCCACAAUUCGGAGCAUUGAUGAAGCCACAAUACUCCGUGACUCUUCAGAAGGACUGGAAUGGCUGCAUAAAAGACAAAUCAUGCACCGGGAUAUCAAGCCCGAAAACAUCUUGUUGGUGCGGGACGAGAAAGAUGGCAUCGUGGCCAAGCUCACCGACUUUGGUAUAUCCAAAGAGCUGACAUCGGGCACUCAGGCCAUGACAAGUUGGAAAGGCACUCUGGACUGGAUGGCUCCAGAGGUGCAAGAGAGCGGAGGUCAGGUUGG
Molecule: long non-coding RNA, 506 nt
Organism: Amphibalanus amphitrite
Lineage: Eukaryota; Metazoa; Arthropoda; Thecostraca; Balanomorpha; Balanidae
Exons: 3
Source: RefSeq, a predicted model, not a curated record